UGAGUAACACGUAUGCAACCUGCCUGCCACAGCCGGAUAAUCGGGAGAAAUUCCGUCUAAUACGGCAUAAUGCAUCGACGGGACAUCCUGUUGGUGCCAAAGGUUAAUUCCGGUGGCGGAUGGGCAUGCGUCGCAUUAGUUAGUUGGCGGUGUCACGGACCACCAAGACGACGAUGCGUAGGGGUUCUGAGAGGAAGGUCCCCCACACUGGUACUGAGACACGGACCAGACUCCUACGGGAGGCAGCAG
Molecule: ribosomal RNA, 249 nt
Filed under: uncultured bacterium
Lineage: Bacteria
Description: partial 16S ribosomal RNA
Rfam family: Bacterial small subunit ribosomal RNA
Source: RNAcentral